UACGUAGGUGGCAAGCGUUGUCCGGAAUUAUUGGGCGUAAAGAGCGUGUAGGCGGUUAGGUAGGUCCGUUGUGAAAACUCGAGGCUCAACCUCGAGACGCCGAUGGAAACCAUCUGACUAGAGUCCGGAAGAGGAGAGUGGAAUUCCUGGUGUAACGGUGAAAUGCGCAGAUAUCAGGAAGAACACCCGUGGCUAAGGCGGCCCUCUAGUACGGUACUGACGCUGAGACGCGAAAGCGUGGGGAGCGAACAGG
RNAcentral lists this ribosomal RNA (253 nucleotides) under uncultured bacterium. Its description in RNAcentral is "partial 16S ribosomal RNA". It matches the Rfam family "Bacterial small subunit ribosomal RNA", at positions 524 to 776 of the family's 1533-position model. The record is from RNAcentral.